UGUAACAAGGUGUAUUUUGCAUGCAGUAGUUUGAUUGCUGAGGGGAGUUGAGUCUGUUACAC
Molecule: transfer RNA, 62 nt
Filed under: Ancyrocephalus mogurndae
Lineage: Eukaryota; Metazoa; Platyhelminthes; Monogenea; Dactylogyridea; Ancyrocephalidae
Description: tRNA-Gln
Source: RNAcentral